AAUAGGAAUGCUUUUUUUAGCAAGUAACAGGAACCUGCAUUUAAAGAGGUGGUUUCUUCUUCUUUUUUUUUUCCUUUUGCAUAAUCUAAUUAGGAAUGUUCCUGCCAGCUACCUCCUCAAACAGCAGGUUUAAAACAAGGAAAUCUCCACCAACUAGCUCCUCCCAGGGGAUUUUGUGGCCACGUUGGAUGGGAAGACAGGGCGGUGCUGCGGUGUCACAAAACAUCAACUCAGGGAGCAAACACAGACGUUCACAUAUACACUCCGAUCUGUGAGUUUCAAGAGGGUCUCAUUGUAAUGCCAGUUAUUUUUCAUGAGUAAAUGGUACUACAGAUAAAAUCCCUACGACCUAGAAUGCUGUGUAUUUUGAUGACAGGUCAGCCCGUGAGGCCAUAUCAUCUAAGUUCAUGUUUUAGAGCUGCUGUGGAAAGUAAAUGAGUCAACCCAGGUAAAACGCUGGACACAGGGUGAGGCAUUCCAAGAAGUCACUUUCGUCCCGAUCCGGCCCAUGACUUCUGGCUGACUGCUAAGUGAUGAGCUAAGCAGUUAGCUCCAGAUCUUGGUUGUUGCCCUAUUUUUUCCCCCCUUCCAGACCAUAUGGGUUCACUUUUCUCCGAAAACUUUGCCAAAAAAACAAGGAACAAUCCAUCUGCCACUUAAACAAGAACAGAUUUAUUGCUUUUAACUUAAAAAAAAAAAAGAUGUCAAGUGCAAAAAAAAG
This 721-nucleotide long non-coding RNA is filed under the name Mustela putorius furo (domestic ferret). RNAcentral describes it as "lncRNA (ENSMPUG00000024639.1)". The record is from RNAcentral. Lineage: Eukaryota; Metazoa; Chordata; Mammalia; Carnivora; Mustelidae.